AUUUUUAAAAAAAACUAAAAAAUUUCUCUCUGAAAGAGAGAGGAAGGGAGCUCCGGUUCUGGCCUUCGUACGCCACGCGCCGGUCCACGCGCCGCCCUAAGGGCCACUGUAUAUGAAGAUCAGAAGGUUUAAAAAUCCUCGUCUCUCAAGAUCCAAAACAAGUAGUUCUUCUCCUUUUCAAAUCCCUUAGUAUUUUGCUAAACAGUUCAUAUAUAUGGGCAAAAAAAUAGAGAACAAGUCACUCGAUUAUCACCUUUGAAACUGUUUGUAUUCGUUUUUUAUUUCUGUAUCUGUGUCCUCGUUAUAAGGGUUACAAAGGCUUUUUUUAUAGCCUACUGAUUUGUUACAUAAGGAAAGAAAUCUCUGAUUUCCUGUAUCUUUGACUGAUGUGCUGUGAUUUCCUUGCCAUUUUCUACUCUGCUUUUUCGCAUAUCUGCUGUUUGUUUCCUUUUCUUGCAGGCAAUUGAGCGAGGGAUCCGGCAGUGACCAUGCUGGUGUAGACGCGUGCACUGAUCACGGUGCUGAUGGAGCAUUGGUGAUGGUCAUGACGUAAUUUGGGGCCAGACCAAUGGACGACCGAUGAUCGGGGCGUUGAUGAGCAUUGAAGCCCCUUGGGACAACUCAUUAAACAGUGGCCUCGAUUUGGGGGUUACCAGACACUCCCCGAAGCUUUCAGAAAUGUUUGCGGCGCCACAGCAUUUAGGAAACCCCAGGGUUUCCCUGUUUCUCUUAAGUCUGUUGGGCCUUUUGGGCUGUUUUGUUUUGGGUCAAGGUCUGUAAUGUAAUGGAUUAGGUCUGACUUAGGCUAGCAGGGAUAAUGAGUCUGAUGGGCUGCUGGGUGUAACGGGUCUUAUUUGGGUUUGGGUUUAGCUUAGGGGUAUUAGGUAUUGUUUUCGCUAUUGGGUUAUACCCGAAUAUGGGUUUUUGUAUUUGGGCUUUGGGUAGCAACAGUAGGCCUGGACUUUCAAUGGACUUUUUAAUAAAUGUUUAUUUAUUUAUCUAAUUUUUUCUUUAUUUAAACCCGGUCAAAUUUGGG
RNAcentral lists this long non-coding RNA (1036 nucleotides) under Gossypium barbadense (sea-island cotton). Its description in RNAcentral is "long non-coding RNA (GBAR_LNC006765)". The record is from RNAcentral. Lineage: Eukaryota; Viridiplantae; Streptophyta; Magnoliopsida; Malvales; Malvaceae.